AUUCCAGCUCCAAUAGCGUAUAUUAAAGUUGUUGCAGUUAAAAAGCUCGUAGUUGAAUUUCUGGUCUCGGACAGCGGUCUGCCUCAAACGAGGUACGCACCACCUGUUCAGGUCCAUCCUCGGAGAAAACAUACCUGUGAUUCAGUUCAUGGGUAUGGGAUCUUCGUCAUUUACUGUGAGCAAAAUAUAGUGUUCAAAGCAGGCUUAUGCCGUUGAAUACAUUAGCAUGGAAUAAUAAAAUAAGACCUUGGUCUAUUUUGUUGGUUUGUACUCCAAGGUAAUGAUUAAUAGGGAUAGUUGGGGGUAUUCGUAUUCAAUUGUCAGAGGUGAAAUUCUUGGGUUUAUGGAAGACGAACUACUGCGAAAGCAUUUACCAAGGAUGUUUUCAUCG
Molecule: ribosomal RNA, 391 nt
Filed under: Chrysophyceae sp.
Lineage: Eukaryota; Chrysophyceae
Description: partial small subunit ribosomal RNA
Rfam family: Eukaryotic small subunit ribosomal RNA
Source: RNAcentral